UGGGGAAUAUUGGACAAUGGGGGGAACCCUGAUCCAGCAAUGCCAUGUGUGCGAAGAAGGCCUUCGGGUUGUAAAGCACUUUAGUGCGGGAGGAAGGUUGAUAGGUUAAUACCCUAUUGAUUUGACAGUACUGCAAGAAUAAGCACCGGCAAACUCUGUG
RNAcentral lists this ribosomal RNA (160 nucleotides) under uncultured bacterium. RNAcentral describes it as "partial 16S ribosomal RNA". It matches the Rfam family "Bacterial small subunit ribosomal RNA", at positions 355 to 507 of the family's 1533-position model. The record is from RNAcentral.